AGUGAACGCUGGCGGUAGGCCUAACACAUGCAAGUCGAACGGCAGCACAGUAAGCGCUUGCUCUUACGGGUGGCGAGUGGCGGACGGGUGAGGAAUACAUCGGAAUCUACUUUUUCGUGGGGGAUAACGUAGGGAAACUUACGCUAAUACCGCAUACGACCUACGGGUGAAAGCAGGGGAUCUUCGCACCUUGCGCGACUGAAUGAGCCGAUGUCGGAUUAGCUAGUUGGCGGGGUAAAGGCCCACCAAGGCGACGAUCCGUAGCUGGUCUGAGAGGAUGAUCAGCCACACUGGAACUGAGACACGGUCCAGACUCCUACGGGAGGCAGCAGUGGGGAAUAUUGGACAAUGGGCGCAAGCCUGAUCCAGCCAUACCGCGUGGGUGAAGAAGGCCUUCGGGUUGUAAAGCCCUUUUGUUGGGAAAGAAAAGCAGCAGGUUAAUACCCCGCUGUUCUGACGGUACCCAAAGAAUAAGCACCGGCUAACUUCGUG
RNAcentral lists this ribosomal RNA (492 nucleotides) under uncultured bacterium. RNAcentral describes it as "partial 16S ribosomal RNA". It matches the Rfam family "Bacterial small subunit ribosomal RNA", at positions 29 to 507 of the family's 1533-position model. The record is from RNAcentral.